This is a long non-coding RNA of Prionailurus viverrinus (fishing cat), 372 nucleotides long. RefSeq lists it as uncharacterized. The transcript is spliced from 3 exons. Lineage: Eukaryota; Metazoa; Chordata; Mammalia; Carnivora; Felidae. The record is from RefSeq and is a predicted model, not a curated record.
GGGUAUUUUAGGCCUUGCUCUGGUAGUGAACAAAUAAGUUUCCGGCCCUCGGGGAGUCAGAGUCCAGUCCCUGAGACAGAUUGUCAAUAAGACAAGGAAAAUCCACACAACGUCAGCCGGAGGGAUCCUGUUAGAACCCGGGACGGAGGCUGUCCAGCUCUGCCCACCCCCCCACACUGUGGCUCCCACUCAAGGCGACAAGGCAUGGACCGUCUCCAGCUGAAGAGGGGGUCCACCCGAUAUGCCACUCUGUGACUUGGCCAAAGAGUGGGCUGGGAAGCUCUUAACUCUCCAGUGAUCUCCUGGGCACAUGGUGCGCUAACUGUUGGUGGAGGGGCCAAACCUUCAUAGUCCAACUGGGCCUCCAUGGGG